UGCAUCGGCUGGGAAUUGAACCCGGGCCGCUCACAUGGCAGGCGAGCAUUCUACCACUGAACCACCGAUGC
Cordylochernes scorpioides is the source of this 71-nucleotide non-coding RNA. NCBI's taxonomy places the organism in Eukaryota, Metazoa, Arthropoda, Arachnida, Pseudoscorpiones, Chernetidae. The record is from the annotation of a GenBank genome assembly.